GACGAACCGUGCGAACGUUGUUCGGAAUCACUGGGCUUAAAGGGCGCGUAGGCGGGCGGUCAAGUCUGUGGUGAAAUCCUUCGGCUCAACCGGAGAAUAGCUGGAGAUACUGGCCGUCUCGAGGGGGGUAGGGGCAUGUGGAACUUCCGGUGGAGCGGUGAAAUGCGUAGAUAUCGGAAGGAACGCCGGUGGCGAAGGCGACGUGCUGGACCCUUUCUGACGCUGAGGCGCGAAAGCUAGGGGAGCAAACGGG
RNAcentral lists this ribosomal RNA (253 nucleotides) under uncultured bacterium. RNAcentral's name for it is "partial 16S ribosomal RNA". It matches the Rfam family "Bacterial small subunit ribosomal RNA", at positions 524 to 776 of the family's 1533-position model. The record is from RNAcentral.